UACGUAGGGGUCCGAGCGUUGUCCGGAAUUACUGGGCGUAAAGCGUGCGCAGGCGGCUUUCCAAGCGCCACGUGAAAGCCCCGGGCUCAACCCGGGAGGGUCGUGGCGAACUGGGAGCUUGAGGCCGGUAGAGGUGGGUGGAACUCCUGGUGGAGUGGUGAAAUGCGUAGAUAUGUGGAGGAACACCGAUGGCGAAGGCAGCCCCCUGGGUCAAGACUGACGCUCAUGCACGAAAGCGUGGGGAGCAAACAGG
RNAcentral lists this ribosomal RNA (253 nucleotides) under uncultured bacterium. RNAcentral's name for it is "partial 16S ribosomal RNA". It matches the Rfam family "Bacterial small subunit ribosomal RNA", at positions 524 to 776 of the family's 1533-position model. The record is from RNAcentral.